This 253-nucleotide ribosomal RNA is filed under the name uncultured bacterium. Its description in RNAcentral is "partial 16S ribosomal RNA". It matches the Rfam family "Bacterial small subunit ribosomal RNA", at positions 524 to 776 of the family's 1533-position model. The record is from RNAcentral.
GACGUAGGGCGCGAGCGUUGUCCGGAUUUAUUGGGCGUAAAGAGCUCGUAGGCGGUUUGUCGCGUCGUUCGUGAAAACUCACAGCUCAACUGUGAGCUUGCGGUCGAUACGGGCAGGCUAGAGUUCGGUAGGGGAGACUGGAAUUCCUGGUGUAGCGGUGAAAUGCGCAGAUAUCAGGAGGAACACCGGUGGCGAAGGCGGGUCUCUGGGCCGAUACUGACGCUGAGGAGCGAAAGCGUGGGGAGCAAACAGG